RNAcentral lists this ribosomal RNA (485 nucleotides) under uncultured bacterium. RNAcentral's name for it is "bacterial SSU rRNA". It matches the Rfam family "Bacterial small subunit ribosomal RNA", at positions 32 to 490 of the family's 1533-position model. The record is from RNAcentral.
AAUCAACGCUGGCGGCGUGCCUCAGACAUGCAAGUCGAACGCGAAAGGCCCCUUCGGGGGCCGAGUAGAGUGGCGCACGGGUGAGUAACACGUGGGUAAUUUACCUCUGGGUGGGGAAUAGCGGCUGGAAACGGCCAUUAAUACCGCAUAAUGCAGCGGCUCGACAUCGAGACAGUUGUUAAAGCGGGGGCUUCGUAAGAACCUCGCGCCUGGAGAAAAGCCCACGGCGGAUUAGCAGUUGGUAGGGUAAUGGCCUACCAAGGCGACGAUCCGUAACCGGCCUGAGAGGGCGGGUCGGUCACACUGACACUGAAUAACGGGUCAGACUCCUACGGGAGGCAGCAGUCGGGAAUUUUGGGCAAUGGGCGCAAGCCUGACCCAGCAACGCCGCGUGAAGGAUGAAAUCCCUCGGGAUGUAAACUUCGCAAGAACAGGGAGAAUAAGUAGAAGACAAUACCUUCUAUGAUGACGGUACUGUUUGUAAG